UGAGUUUCAGCUCUAACCAAACCAUGUUCCUCACAUCUACGCUGGUGCUGUUACUGCUGAUUACAACACGUGUGCAGUCCCAGGUUGUCCUCACCCAGUCUGAGCAGUCACUAGUAGUUGCUCCAGGUGGAUCUCAUAAACUGACCUGUGCCUGUAGUGGGUUCAACUUGGGCAGCUAUAGGAUGCACUGGAUCCGUCAGGCUCCUGGGACAGGACUGGAAUGGAUCAUGCACUACUACACUGACUCUAGUAAAGGCACAGCCCAGGCAGUACAGGAAAUAAGAAGAGAGACAUUCUGCAGAGGAUCUCUGACACUGUGUCACAAGGAUCUUAUUUAUCAUGUCUGGAUUCAUUCAUGCCAUGUUCCUCAUAUGUUCACUGCUGCUACUGAUUGCCACUUGUGUCCACUCUCAGAUUGUCCUCACAUAGCCUGAGGAGUCAGUAGUAGUGGCUCCAGGUGGAUCCCACAAACUGACCUGUGCCUGCAGUGGAUUCAGUGUGGGAGCUGCUGAUGUGCACUGGAUUCGUCAGGCUUCCCUUUUACACGACAUACUUAAAGAUGAUUUAUUUUAGGACUAGUGGAAAUGGGCUGUUUUUCCAACAUGUGGAGACAAUUUGCUAUCUGUUAGUCAUAGGCUUACUUUUUAAAGUUCUAAUAUAAGGACUUUUUCAACAAUUGUUUUAUACUUAUGAAACACUACAAGAGCAUAUCUGUUGACAUAUAAGUAAAAAUAUAAAUGCAUUAAAUAGACCAAUAAAUUUAACAGUGAGUCCUGAUGUCCCAUACCAGUUUGUCCUCACACAGUCUGUGCAUUCAUUGUAGUGGCUCCUGAUGGAGCCCACACACUGAUCUUUGCCUACAGAGGGUUCAGUGUUGGAGAGUCCAAAAAUCAGCAUGUGCUGGAUCUGCCAGGUUCCUGGGAAAAGACUCAAGUGGAUUGUUUUCUAUUAUUCUGAGUAGCAAGAGCUCAGCUCAUGCAGUACAGGGUGAUGAGGCAG
Non-coding RNA from Electrophorus electricus (electric eel), 999 nucleotides. NCBI's taxonomy places the organism in Eukaryota, Metazoa, Chordata, Actinopteri, Gymnotiformes, Gymnotidae. The record is from the annotation of a RefSeq genome assembly.